UCCACCGUGAGGUGGAAUCUGAAGGAAGUCGGCGGCAAAACCCCGGUCUGACGUACAGAAACCGCAUAGAAGGCAUCCACAGUUGGACAAGACUGCAACACAAGUCGAAGUCCCUUACUAUCGGAAAACUGUGGGUGUAAAUGCGGCAGAUAUAUGGGAUGAAAGUAUAUGAA
RNAcentral lists this non-coding RNA (173 nucleotides) under Chitinophaga sp. S165. Lineage: Bacteria; Pseudomonadati; Bacteroidota; Chitinophagia; Chitinophagales; Chitinophagaceae. The record is from RNAcentral.